GUUAAGUUCCAUUUUAAUAGUUCUUGUAUUCUGCUAAGGUUACACCAUAGCGGACAACCACAGUAAUAUUCAAAGAUUCUAGCUUUUCUUAACAGACAGAAAUGAUGAGUCGUUCACAUAGCCAUACAUGAACCAGGCACCAAUAACCCAUGGAUGUCCUGUAACUAGCACUAGCACAAUUUAAGGGAUCCAAGUAGGAUCUCUAGGACUAAAGAAUGAUGCCUUCACAUGAGAAUUAAGCAACACAAGUGCAGCAUUAGACUUAAUGCACCUUGGCGUUUUGUACUGAUUGAGUGACCCCCCUUGGCCAAUGAACAAAUCCAUCAGUGCCUCGAAUGUACCAGGCUCCACCACACGUAUCUCCAGUGGUCCUAUAGACUUGUCAUAUGCACGACAUCGCCGAUACACAUAAUCGAGUUCUUCUUCCACAGCAAUGCAACAUUCUUGAAGCACCUUGGCAUCAAGUGGGAUUGGAGUGUCCUUGAUGACUGAUGCAUGAUGUAGGAUUUCCCAAUACAAUACAUAGUGCCCUGGUACAGAUGAUGUGUCUGCAUAGCUAGUGUAUUCCACUAGUAGUGCACCGUAGGGUUCAAGUAAUUUCUUUGCUGCUGUGAUGCUCUUGUGAAGAUCUUCCUCAUUGGUUUUGUCAUUGUCAAUGCUUAGGACCACGUUUCUCCUGCAAAUGAAUCGAAAUUGUGGAGCUUGAUUGUGGAAUCCAGUCACUUGAAGCACAUCACCGAUACGGUAACGGUAUAGCCCAGCAAAUGUAGUGACCACUAACUCAUAAUAACAGCCACGUCUAACAUGCACCAAAUCAACAAGCUUAUCACUGGGCACCUCCUCUUCCUCACCGACAUCCAUUAACCAUUUCCCAUUCUCCCCCAGAGGUAUAAACUCAAAGUAACACAUGUUAGGCAUAAGAGUAAAAACCACGUCUGCAGGAUCACACAAGGGCUCCAAGUUGACACCAAAGUAACACUCAGAGGAAGCAUACAUGGUACACACCAAAGGCAACUUCCCCUCACUAUAGUAAUCGAGGGCUGGUACAUAUUGUGCCAUAGAUCCUGUCACAACUGCUUCAAUAUACUUUGUCCUAGGCCAAAGGUGAUACAAUAUACCCUUCCAUGAUGGACGGCUGCAAAUUUCCUCAAUUUCAUCCGCAAGACAAGGAUUAGGUGAUGAUAGUAUCAUUGACAUACUUGAACGGCAUUCAGGAUCAGUGAUCAUGGGAUCUACUUGACCACUGCGUAUAUCAUUGACUAGGUGAACCCAAUUGUGCUCCAGGAAUGAAAUGGCUCGAAGCAGGGCCGACGCAAAUACAGCUCCUAUCCUUAGGACUUGGUGACGGUGAACUAGACCAGAUAACAACUGGCAAUACAUGCUCUGGUUGCUAUCUUUGCACAAGAUAGCUUGAUCUGGGCUAGUGAAAUCAUUGAAGGAAUCAUGUGCUCGGCACUUAAAGUGCUUACUUUUGUAGUAACUUGUUAGCACUGUUCGAACUGGUAAGCCACCAGGAGUCAACUUUUCUGCCUUGACAAAGUACAGACACAUAGCCUUACCUUCAUCCAAACCAGAGAUAUACCUGAAAUUAUAUUGUUAAGUUCAUCGAUACAAAUGAAUCUUAGACCUCUAUAACAAAUUGUUUCUCAAGGAGAAUAAAAUAAUGAUGGACCCCAGACAAAAGAAAUCUAUAAUCCAAAUAAUUCCAGCCAGCUUCAGAGCUAGCUCAUCAACUUUUUAUAUAUGCCACCAGAAGUUCAAUGCAUUCUAGAAGAAGUAAGACUCCUAUAAUAGGCAAAAGUAAAAGUGAUGCAACUCAUCAGUAUAUUACCAGCUCGUGCACCAAAAAUGUGGCUAAUUACUUUGUUCAACUUAUCAUGAAUGGUCUGGAGGAUUCCCCACUAAAAAGGUCCUUGAAAGCAAGAAAGGGAAUUAUUCUAGCAAGUUCUACCCACUAAUGCAUGGUAUUGGAUCCUCUUUCUAAUCCAGAUUAACAAGUCCUUAAGCUCAUAUGCCGUGUUCUGACCAAUAAAUGACUGGAAG
Molecule: unclassified non-coding RNA, 2043 nt
Filed under: Hevea brasiliensis (rubber tree)
Lineage: Eukaryota; Viridiplantae; Streptophyta; Magnoliopsida; Malpighiales; Euphorbiaceae
Source: RNAcentral